CGGCUCAGUAACACGUGGAUAACCUACCCUCAGAUCUGGGAUAACUCCGGGAAACUGGAGAUAAUACCGGAUAAUCCGUGAACGCUGGAAUGCCUUACGGUUGAAAGCUUUAGCGUCUGAGGAUGGGUCUGCGGCCGAUUAGGUAGUUGCUGGGGUAACGUCCCAACAAGCCGAUAAUCGGUACGGGUUGUGAGAGCAAGAGCCCGGAGAUGGAUUCUGAGACACGAAUCCAGGUCCUACGGGGCGCAGCAGGCGCGAAAACUUUACACUGCGCGAAAGCGCGAUAAGGGGACCUCGAGUGCGUGCGCAAAGCGUACGCUUUUCAGAUGCCUAAAAAGCAUCUGGAAUAAGGGCCGGGCAAGACCGGUGCCAGCCGCCGCGGUAACACCGGCGGCUCAAGUGGUGGCCGCUAUUAUUGGGCUUAAAGGGUCCGUAGCCGGACCAGUUAGUCCCUUGGGAAAUCUUACGGCUUAACCGUAAGGCUGCCAAUGGAUACUGCUGGUCUUGGGACCGGGAGAGGCAAGAGGUACCUCAGGGGUAGGAGUGAAAUCCUGUAAUCCUUGAGGGACCGCCAGUGGCGAAGGCGUCUUGCUAGAACGGGUCCGACGGUGAGGGACGAAAGCUAGGGGCACGAACCGGAUUAGAUACCCGGGUAGUCCU
RNAcentral lists this ribosomal RNA (660 nucleotides) under uncultured euryarchaeote. RNAcentral's name for it is "bacterial SSU rRNA". It matches the Rfam family "Archaeal small subunit ribosomal RNA", at positions 83 to 748 of the family's 1478-position model. The record is from RNAcentral. Lineage: Archaea; Methanobacteriati; Methanobacteriota.